UUUUCUUCUGUAGAGGGGGACUUACUAAGGGCUUCUAACAAGCAGGAGUAUCAUUUCAAAGUGAAUGCUAACAAGAUUGACUAUAUUUUCAGAAUAAAGUAAGGCUUUGCUUCAUAACCUUUUCUUUCCCUUCUGUAUAUAAAGCUGAGAAAACAAACAGAAGAAAUGCUGAGAGGCACAAGUGCUACGGAAUGCUCUAGGUGGUCAAGGACUAUUAUAACCUGAGUCAGGCUUCCUUCACCGUGGACACAUACCAUCGGUCUACACUAGGACCUGCAUGGGAUGCUCGGGGAGCCUUCAGCUCAGGAGCCUGUUAACACUGACGACUGCUCGGAGGGAUAAACGCAAGGCCACUGCAGGAACUGGGGUGCCACAAGGCCACUGCGGGAACUGGGGUGCUGCCGGACUACUACUUUGAACCACACAAGUCUGAGAGAAAUUAAAGUAUAACAGUCCCAGACUCCUAGACAGUAGGGACCAAAGACUCCCUGUUCUUCAUGACCACCUAGUAACAAAGUUGGAAAUGGUAAGGCAGUUGACCCAUAAUCGAAUUGUUUUGUAGGGGUUUUGCUGUUGUUUAUUCUUUUAUUCUGGGGGAGAUGGGAAGUAUAGUAGACUGAAUGUGAGGCCCUGUGCACACUGAGAAAAUGCUGUAGUGUGAGUUACCUCCCUGACCCAUCCUGGUUUCCCAGUGACUAGCUUUCACUAGGACUGAAUGGGAAACAUGUCCAUGAAGAUGAGGGAGGAAAUACAAAGCAAGCAAGGAGAGUCUAAAUGAGCUGUGGUGAUAACAGAGAGAUAAACCUAAAGAGAACUGAAUACAAUCGAGGGUCGGGGGAGGGCCCCGUGCUAACCAAGCCAAGUGUGGGGGGAGCAAGGUUUUGGGCCAGACCUGACUGAUGGUGCUGAUUUCUGACCUGGGCUCUAUCACCUAUGCUCUGUCAACAAAAAUCUAGCCAUUCCUAACCACAGCUUCUCAUCUCCCAAUCAACACAAAGGGUCAAGAGAAUUUUUUUUUCUAAUUACAAUUUUUACUCUUUCUUCUGGAAAAAAGUUAAAACUAGCGAUGCAAAAUUAUGUGCCAAUUUCAAGGAGCUUGUGACUGUAUGAUUGUCAACACCGAAAUGUCACCUUGGGUCUUUCUGUGGCUGAGCACACAUCAGGAGAACAAAAUGCUUUUUUAUGGGUAAGAAAGACUUGGAAACCUCUGGAGACAUGAGAUUUAGACAAAAAGGUUAUUGAUUUUUGUGUUAUGUAGGUAAGCCUUAAAUAAUACAAUUGUGAAGACAGACUACAGCUGGAGACCUCUGGGGUUCAGCUUUCGAUCACUGAUGGCAGAAAUGGCCGAGAACAAAGUCACACCAGUUUAUAUGUCCUCCUGUAGAAUGCCAUCAACUGACUGCUGACUCAUUUUGACUCAGAUCACUUUAAGUCAGCGUGGCUUCCCCAGACUGCAUCUAGCAAAAUGAAGUAAAUGGUAAAGGGCUUGUAUUAUGAGGAACCUUACAGGGUGGGUUGUUUCCUGGCUUCUUUGGGGGUAUAUUCCUGAAAAAGAAUGCUUCCAUUUCAAAUGCUCGUGCACACACAUAUGCCUGGACACACACAGCAGUCAAACAAUUGCCUUGUUAUUUAGUGUCUCAGAAAAGAUCAAAGGGAUGGAGGUGGGACAUUGUAAUGUCUAGGAAAAACUCCUUGUCUGGCCUCUGCCUCUGUCUGGCCCACAGGUACCAGUUGUGACUCUAGUCUGUGCCCUACUCUCUGCUCCUCACUACAGAACCCUUCCCCGAUAUGCACUGGCUCAGGGUCUCCCACAUGUUGGUGCACGACUAUCUGCAUUCUCUUCUAUCUCUGCCUUUCUCUCUCAGCUGCAGAGUUCAUUUUUCCUCUCCAGCCUCUAUCUGCACCCCAGAAUCCCUAUUUAUGUUCCUCAGAGUGUAAUCUGAUCUCUUCCACCAGUUGUUUUUCUGGGGGAAAAUCUGCCCAUUGCCCAGAUUCUGAGAAAACGUUAAAUCUAGGUCCUGACAACCAGACAGCAAGAACCCUCACUUCUUGAGGGGCAGAGAAAGCUGAGAAAGCCCAUGUGACCAGUAAUCCUUUCUAAUUGCCAUGCUGGCAGGGUUGCAUCUUGUUCUCUGUGCCACCAUGUGGGAACGCAUAGCCACACGCCAGCCCUACAUGCCACUGGAAUGCCAUGUUUCUCAGGCACAGCACUGGUCCUGUCUGCUGACUUGCAUGUAUAUGUUAAUGAAAACUUGAUGGCAGGAAAAUGCAAGCUCAUGCUGCAGAAACAGGGUCCGCUGGUUGAAGUUUCACCUCAUUUGCUCCUCCCUACAUGAGAAAGAAAAAGGCCAAUUCUGGGACUUUACUGGAUCUUUAAGUAGAGGGAAAACAAGUUGUGAAUUAUUUCUGUGAAUGUCCAUCUGUAACCUGUCCUGAUGACUCACAAACUAACCUCAAAGAACAGGCAAUCCCAUGGGCCAUGAACAGAGACAGGGCUGAGCUGAGUAAUUCUGCAGCCCAUCUGGCUUUAUCUGAACAAUCACCACAUCAUCCCCAUGCCUGGUCCCUGGUGGUAAUGGCCCCACUAUCCCUCUCUCCCCUCCACAUGCACUCAGAGCUUCUCUCCAUAGCCUCUCCAGGGGCUUCAGCCUUUUCACAUGACACUUCAGGGGUUCAAGACUGGCUGUUCCAAAAGACAAAGGAGGGAUCUGAAUAUCCUAAGAGUUGAGGCAGAGUAGACACACCUCCCUUUGCAUCAUACUAUAUUGACUAUAAGCAACCACAACAAUCUAUGAAGACACAGCUCAUGUUCUUUUCUCGUUUCCAUAGCAGGAGUUGGCAAAUUGGGGCUUUCAGAUCAGAGCAUCCCUCACUACAGAUACAGCUUUUUGGAAACAGUUAGGAUUAUUAGUUAUGUGCUAUCUAUGACCGUCUUCGCACUAUUAUAGCUGCUAUAGAGAUCAUAUACAUCACGAAGUCCAAAAUAAUUACAAUAUGGACUUUUCUAAAAAUAGUAAUUUACCGAUCACUAUUCCAUAGCAAAUUUUCAUGGAACAAUUCCUUCGUGGCUCCAGGAAACUGCCUGGCAGGGGGCAGAGAGGACAGGAGGCUUGGAAAAGGCACCAUGGAUGUGUCGUUCUCCACCCUAGGGCAAGCGGCUUGCUCAUCUGAUGGUCUUAGAGGUCUUGGUAGCGGAGAAGACAAGUCAAGUCCUCUAAACAACCUAGACUCAGAUACUGCCAACAUGGCAACACUGUAGAAGACAGACUGAGCUAGACAUCCUUUGGGGGUGGGGGGGUUGGCCCUGUUAGCGUCAGCACAGUGUACAUAUAGGUAGACCACCCUGGAAACAGCUUGGAAACGUGACAAUAUGGGAAAGGGUCUGAAACAAGAUUCAUACUUGUGAUGGACAUCCAGGGUCCUUACUGGAGGUUUAGCCUGCAGCAAAGCAUGGGGAGUUCAAAGCUUCCCUUAUGCACACAGGCCCUUCCAUUGUAUGUGGCUGUUCUUUCCACAUAGAGCAGGAAGAGGAGGAAGCUGAGGCCAUGCAUUGUGUCAGGUUCACUUUUU
This 3570-nucleotide small RNA is filed under the name Rattus norvegicus (Norway rat). RNAcentral's name for it is "uncharacterized LOC102555694". The record is from RNAcentral. Lineage: Eukaryota; Metazoa; Chordata; Mammalia; Rodentia; Muridae.